UACGUAGGUGGCAAGCGUUGUCCGGAAUUAUUGGGCGUAAAGCGCACGCAGGCGGUCUGAUGAGUUAGAAGUGAAAGCCCUGGGCUCAACCCGGGAAUUGCUUUUAAUACUGUCAGGCUUGGAUCCGUGAGAGGGUAGUGGAAUUCCGAGUGUAGAGGUGAAAUUCGUAGAUAUUCGGAAGAACACCAGUGGCGAAGGCGACUACCUGGCACGGCAUCGACGCUCAUGUGCGAAAGCGUGGGGAGCAAACAGG
RNAcentral lists this unclassified non-coding RNA (253 nucleotides) under uncultured Alphaproteobacteria bacterium. RNAcentral describes it as "contains 16S-23S intergenic spacer region". It matches the Rfam family "Bacterial small subunit ribosomal RNA", at positions 524 to 776 of the family's 1533-position model. Lineage: Bacteria; Pseudomonadati; Pseudomonadota; Alphaproteobacteria. The record is from RNAcentral.